UCCGUAAGGUGAACCUGCGGAGGGAUCAUUA
Molecule: ribosomal RNA, 31 nt
Filed under: Cladosporium cladosporioides
Lineage: Eukaryota; Fungi; Ascomycota; Dothideomycetes; Cladosporiales; Cladosporiaceae
Description: partial 18S ribosomal RNA
Source: RNAcentral